Meriones unguiculatus (Mongolian gerbil) is the source of this 3541-nucleotide long non-coding RNA. RefSeq lists it as uncharacterized. Lineage: Eukaryota; Metazoa; Chordata; Mammalia; Rodentia; Muridae. The transcript is spliced from 4 exons. The record is from RefSeq and is a predicted model, not a curated record.
AGGCAGAAAACAUCUGCAGAGGAGCCGUGGGUGUGUGGUGACGUUAGGUGGCGGACGAGAAUCUGAGCUGGCUUGAGAGCCCUUCAGAGGCGAGAGAGAAUGCCCUGCUGGACUCAGAGGAUGUCAUCCAGGUGAAAAGGGAGUGCUGGUAAGAAUUGCCCUGGAGUUCAUCCUUGUGGGGGAUCGGGAUCCAGGAUUGGAGAGCUUCCGCACCACGCAAGGCAGAGGGCUUGCCGGCCAGUGGAGGCAAGCUUGUCCAACCCGCACUGCUACACGAGAGUUUGCUGUCUAGCUGGUGAUGUGGCUCAUUGGACAGAGUGCUUACCUAGUGUUUGAGAAGCUUCCGGUGCAACCCGCGGUUCCACAGUCAUAGGGUGUGGUGGUGCACGCUUAUAAUCCUAGCACUCGAGGGGGAUGUCAGAAGUCGUCCUCAAGCCCAUAGCAUGUUCGAGGCCACCCUAGGCCACAUCUGCCUCAAACAGCUCCAUAGAUGCCAUUCUCUCAAAGUGUCACAGCCCCCGACUCAUGGCUUCUGAAACUACUCUUUGCUUCCUGGAGGCAUGGACUUGGGUGCUCUUGAAGUUGUACUGUGUUUAACCCAGGCAUGGCCUGUACUCCUGCAUGCCUUAGCUCAUGAGCAGGUGCUUCCCUACAGAGCGGGAUGCCAGCUCCUUUCAUUUUCUUGAUAAAUGGUUACUCCUGGAGACUUUCAUCAAACAAACUCCUAUGUGCAGUUUGAGCAAGAGUGGGACACUUUGAUGGGCCAGCCAGCUUUCCUUUCUCCCUCGACUCCAGCAUGGUUUUCUUCUCUCUAGAAACCUAGGAUGGCCUGGGAAGCCACAAACCUUGAUCAUGAGAGCCUGUGGAGGCUAAGUGCCUUCUGCUCUCCUGGAAGGGUCAGAUUCCCUCCAUGAGUCUCCAUUUGUAUUGUAGAUAAGAGGUGAGGCCACAGAAAGGAGUAUAUCCAGCCAAAUUCUGGGGUUCUGCUGUGUCAUUCUUCCAAGUCCAGACUUACAACCAACCCCACAUCCCAAAUGUUCUGGAACCGUAGGAACAGCUUCAUUGGGUCACCCUCGGCGGGCAGGAGAGCUCAAGAAGGAGUGAGAUCUGGGCAGAGCGUCCAUUUUCUACUCUACCUGACCACGAACGUCAUACUUUUAUACCGGCUUGAAGCAAACAAAAACUUUAAAUGUUAUAACUCACCCAGCUGAUUUUACUUGCACCUUCUUGGCGAAGCUAUGGGUGGUUUGAAGAAAGACACCCCAGUGCUCGCCGCAGGUGCCACUGCAAUGGGCAAAUGUGUCCUGGAGAGCUGGGAAAGAUGGAGUGCGCAGCGGAGAAAUGGGAGCUAAGUGAAGCUGGGGGUUUUGUACACCGUGGAGAAAGGCAGAACUGAAGACUUGAUGGUGGCGAGGAACAGGUGGAUAUGACGAGCCUGUGCAGUCACCUGAGGCCAUGGUAAGAUCCCGGCCUGGGCUUCUGCCAAGGGCUAUGUCUGAAUCUGGGUCCUGCUGCAUCUGGGGUCUGUGUUAAUCUCUGUGGUCUCAGUUACCAACAAAGGACAUGGGUUUGUCCGUGGUCUGGGCUGCCACAGGAGACCAUGUGGAUAUCUGAGGGCCAUGGUAUUGCAAGGCGCUUGCUGAUCUGAGUGGCCUGCACUGCCACCUGAAGCCAAGGUGACAUCCAGGCCCAUGCUGCGGUCAGGGGCCAUGUCUGAGUCGGUGGUCCUAUCAAAGCCAGGGUUUGUGUUGAUGUCACAGGCCCAUGUUACCACCAAGGGCCAUGUUACCACCUGGUCUGAACUGUUGCCUCGGACACUGUGCUGAGCUGGCCCUGACCCUUGUCUGGGCAGCACAAUAAAGCUGACCCUGGUGGUGGGGGUGCAGGUGAGCUGGCUGAGGGCUAGAGCGUGGGGGAGCUGGCCCUUCCCCUUGCCCUUGCCAGCUGUGGCACUGAGUGAGCUACCCAGGGCAGUGCUAGAGAGCUCAUCCUGGUGGUGAGGGUGCAGGAGAGCUGGCAAGCUGACCAACUCACUACCCAGAUCCAGGGCUUUGAGUUGGCCUACUCCAAAAUCCACCGCAUCUAUGAACUGCUGGAGCAUGUGAACGGGCCCGGAAGGACCGGCCCUGUAGAUCUAAAGCUGCAGGAUCUCCAUGACACAGGACAACAAUAGGAUAUUUGAGAGGAGUCCCAGCGAGGAUCCAGUAUUGACAGUGUAGCAGAAGCCUUGAACCGGACCAACGACUCGUUACAAUGAACCUUUGCGAGUAAAGAUGUGUGGACCAAAGGGUAUACUGCGUGACACAUUACGGCUUCCACAACAAAAUGUUUGCCUUAAAAACAAUUCUAUCUUAUUUUAUUUUUAGUUUUGGAGGGGCACAUGGUGGAUGGUGAAGGGAUGGGGAGAUGAGUGGGAUUGGAGUGCGAAGUAGAAUCGACACAAAGUUUAGAAAGAAUUGUGCCCUUCGCAGCCGUAACUGACUUUUGACAGCUUCUGAGCAGUAGUAUUUUGCCUCCGGGAAGCAGUGCCUUGCCACACUCUACCUUCCCUGACACAAGUGACCGGAAAUUGACAUCAUUCCUCCUGGGAAGGCACUUCCUACUCCGAACUUCUCCACGCCAUCAGAAUGGUUGUAUUAUUCUGAUUGUAAAAUUUUACUUGGCUUAGUUUGAGACUGUCUCGUGUAGCCCAGACUGGUCCUGAACUUCUGAUCCUCCUGCCCCACCCCACCCCACCCCUAUUCCAGUGCUGUGAUUACAGGCAUGUCCUACCAUGCAUGGCUAGAAUGGUUAUUUUUAAACUGCUAUUUUUUUAAAGCAUAUAUCCAGUUUUGUUGCACCUACUUAUAACACGAAUUUAAAACAGUUUGUGAUCAAAUGGCAUUUUUUAAUUUGUCUUGAUUCAUGUGAGAGUAAUUUAAAUUCACAUUAGUAUUCUGGAAACUGAUCAUUAACACUUUUUAACUGAUUUUGUAAACACAUUUUGCUUCCAAAAUAAACAUAAACAGAAAAGGGGAGGGCUCAGCACAGCUGAAGCAUGAAGACACACACCCAUUGAUGGGGAAGGGCAGGAUCCUUAAGUAUAAAGCGCAAAGCCAUUCGAGAGUCAUUUCAUCAGCCAUUCCCCUCGUGAAAAAUCUGCAGGAAAAAUGUGAAUAAUUUCCGAUUUGCCUGGUGGGGAAUUUCAAGCUGCAGGGUUGUAUGUGCCUAUCACGGCUCAUUUCAAAUCAUUAAGACUGGUUGGGAGGUGCAGACUAACUAAUGUUUCCUAAAGCAGCUGCGACGACUUGCCGCAAGAUGAGCGAGCUGGCUGGGCCAUCUCCUUCCUAGGCUUCGGUGGAGACUCGGAGAUCUGCAGUCUCCCAAAUGUUUUGAAAGUCAGCUCUCCUGUUGUGAUCUCCUCACCUCCGUCUCCAUGGGGGUAUGCUAAGCCUUCACCCAGACAUCAUGAGGGCUCUCAGUUCACCUGUCCAUAAUGUUCCCUGGCUGUGCCCUCGUGCAUCAUUUAAACAUAGACUUUGCAGAAGAGUAAAACAUAGCU